GACGAACCGUGCGAACGUUUGUUCGGAAUCACUGGGCUUAAAGGGCGCGUAGGCGGAUGACCAAGUCAGGGGUGAAAGCCCGCAGCUCAACUGCGGAAGUGCCUUUGAUACUGGUUGUCUCGAGGGAGAUAGGGGCAUGUGGAACUUCCGGUGGAGCGGUGAAAUGCGUAGAUAUCGGAAGGAACGCCGGUGGCGAAAGCGACGUGCUGGAUCUCUUCUGACGCUGAGGCGCGAAAGCUAGGGGAGCAAACAGG
Molecule: ribosomal RNA, 254 nt
Filed under: uncultured bacterium
Lineage: Bacteria
Description: partial 16S ribosomal RNA
Rfam family: Bacterial small subunit ribosomal RNA
Source: RNAcentral